GUGGUUGUAGCUCAGUUGGUUAGAGCGCCUGGUUGUGGCCCAGGAGGUCGUCGGUUCGAGUCCGAUCUACCACCCCA
This 77-nucleotide transfer RNA is filed under the name Lentisphaeria bacterium. Its description in RNAcentral is "tRNA-His". It matches the Rfam family "tRNA". Rfam says of the family: Transfer RNA (tRNA) molecules are approximately 80 nucleotides in length. The record is from RNAcentral. Lineage: Bacteria; Pseudomonadati; Lentisphaerota; Lentisphaeria.